AGGGCUGUAGUUCAGUAGUAGAGCAUCUGCUUUGCAUGCAGAAGAACCCAGGUCCAAUCCUCAGCACCUCCA
Non-coding RNA from Podarcis lilfordi (Lilford's wall lizard), 72 nucleotides. Lineage: Eukaryota; Metazoa; Chordata; Lepidosauria; Squamata; Lacertidae. The record is from the annotation of a GenBank genome assembly.